UACGUAGGUGGCAAGCGUUGUCGGGAAUUAUUGGGCGUAAAGCGCGCGCAGGCGGUCCUUUAAGUCUGAUGUGAAAGCCCACGGCUCAACCGUGGGGGGUCAUUGGAAACUGGGAGACUUGAGUGCAGAAGAAGAGAGCGGAAUUCCACGUGUAGCGGUGAAAUGCGUAGAGAUGUGGAGGAACACCAGUGGCGAAGGCGGCUCUCUGGUCUGUAACUGACGCUCAUGCACGAAAGCGUGGGGAGCAAACAGG
RNAcentral lists this ribosomal RNA (253 nucleotides) under uncultured bacterium. RNAcentral's name for it is "partial 16S ribosomal RNA". It matches the Rfam family "Bacterial small subunit ribosomal RNA", at positions 524 to 776 of the family's 1533-position model. The record is from RNAcentral.